CAGCCUGCCGCGGGAAUACGUAGGGUGCGAGCGUUGUCCGGAAUUACUGGGCGUAAAGAGCUCGUAGGCGGUUUGUCGCGUCGUCUGUGAAAUUCUGCAGCUUAACUGUAGGCGUGCAGGCGAUACGGGCAGACUUGAGUACUACAGGGGAGACUGGAAUUCCUGGUGUAGCGGUGAAAUGCGCAGAUAUCAGGAGGAACACCGGUGGCGAAGGCGGGUCUCUGGGUAGUAACUGACGCUGAGGAGCGAAAGCGUGGGUAGCGAACAGGAUUAGAUACCCCAGUAGUCCCUGUCUCUUAUU
Molecule: ribosomal RNA, 301 nt
Filed under: uncultured bacterium
Lineage: Bacteria
Description: partial 16S ribosomal RNA
Rfam family: Bacterial small subunit ribosomal RNA
Source: RNAcentral